Molecule: long non-coding RNA, 1404 nt
Organism: Empidonax traillii (willow flycatcher)
Lineage: Eukaryota; Metazoa; Chordata; Aves; Passeriformes; Tyrannidae
Exons: 3
Source: RefSeq, a predicted model, not a curated record
GAAAGCUUUUGGAUGCUGCAUAAGUCACAUCUACUAUAUCAAAUGGACACAGCUCAAUUCCUAGACUGUAAGAUCCAAAAGGCUCGUUGGGAUAAUUUAGUUUGCUUUCUGCACACAUGCGGUCAGAAAUAUUUUCCAGAGAAGCACAGAAUUACAGGAAGAAGUGGAUUUGGAGCAGAGAGUGCUUGUGGUUGUAGAAGGUGUUGAGAGCUGUUGUAAGCACUCUCGAAGUUUAACCAGGAUGAACCGCCUCAGUGUCACAGUUUCUUUUCAUAAGACAAGUGCUCCAGACCCCUGAGCAUCCUGCAGACCUUCUGCUGAACUCCAAAACUGAUGCGGUACUCUGGAUCCAGCCUACUGAGUGCUGAGAUGAGGGGAAUAAUCAUGCCUGUCAGCCUACUGGCUGUACUUCUGUUUAUAUAGCCUAGGCUGUUUUCGACCUUUCUGCUGGCAGAGCUCAGUUCACUGCCCAUCAGGACCCUGAGAACCUUUUCUGCAGGGCUUCCCCCUAGUCAGUGUUCACCAAGCCUGGAUUGCUGUGAUAGCUGAGUAUGUUUUUACAUAAUUAGUUACCCUCUUGUGCCUUUAAGAUGGCAGUGUAUGGGGAAAGUUAUUCUUUUUUACUUUUUUUUUUUUUUUUCCUAGAAUAGCUAAUCUUAGAUUUGGCCUCUUCGUUUUUGAUUUUUUUUUUUCAUAUUCACCGACUUUGGACUAACCCCAAAAUAAAUAAAACAAUAUUCUAAAUAUUGAAGCCACUGAUGCCUUUUUUGGUUGGUUUUCUCAGAGUGUCACAUGCUCAAGUCCUCUUUAAAAGGAAACUCUGAGGGGCCCUCAAGUUUGUGUCAUUAUCUUGAGGUAUUUUCACUUGGGACUCUUGGCUUGAGAAACGCUGCACUGUGUGCGAACAGUUUAUAGGAAUAUGAAAACUCAAAUCCAUCAAUUAAAUAAUGAGAACUGAAAGUACCAGGUGAGGAUUGCUGCAGUGCUCUGGAUAGAAAGGAUGUGAUCUGGAAGAACUCAGUUCCUGUUGGUACUUUUCUUGCCUUUUGGGAACUGCUGUGUGUGUGGCUUACUACAAUUAGCCUUCUUUUUUUUGGAGAGGAAAUAGGGCUUUUAUAUUCAAAACUAUAGCCUGGCAGGGGGAACUGGCCUUCCUUUGGUGUUAACUGCUGUCUGCAAUGCUGGUGCUGCUGGAAGACUUUUUUGGGAGGGUCGAAGCACCUUUCCAUGUAAAUCAGUUUGGAGCAGACAAGUGCACCCUCCAUAUGCAGUCAAUUACUUGCAUUUAUUUAAGGUGAAUCUGAGCUAUUUAUAGAUAUCUUGCAAACUGAUGGCUCAAAAAUGCAAGAAAAAAGCCAGCUUGUGGGUUGACUUGCUUGUUUACUUCAAAGCAAGCAGCUAUAU